Molecule: ribosomal RNA, 1673 nt
Filed under: Stomias atriventer
Lineage: Eukaryota; Metazoa; Chordata; Actinopteri; Stomiiformes; Stomiidae
Description: 16S ribosomal RNA
Rfam family: Bacterial large subunit ribosomal RNA
Source: RNAcentral
GCUGAUCAGCUAGCCCAACACCCCCUAGGUCCCUCCAACAACACACCCACCCUAACAAAACCUUGAAACCCCCAAACAAACCAUUUUUCCAUCAUAGUAUGGGAGACAGAAAAGAAAAUUUGAGCGACAGAGAAAGUACCGCAAGGGAAAGCUGAAAGAGAAAUGAAACAACCCAUUUAAGCCUAGAAAAACAGAGAUUUAACCUCGUACCUUUUGCAUCAUGAUUUAGCCAGCACCCUCAAGCAAAGAGUUCUUUAGUUUGAGCCCCCGAAACUAGACGAGCUACUCCGAGACAGCCUGUUUAGGGCCAACCCGUCUCUGUGGCAAAAGAGUGGGACGAGCUCCGAGUAGAGGUGAUAAACCUACCGAGCCUAGUCAUAGCUGGUUGCUUAGGAAAUGAAUAGAAGUUCAGCCUCCCGAAUUCUCAAACCCCUAAAGUUACACUAAUUUUGACUACAGAAGUCAGGAGAGUUAGUCAAAGGAGGUACAGCUCCUUUGAAUCAGGACACAACCUUUACAGGUGGCUAAAGAUCAUAAUAUAUAAGGUAACCUGUUCUAGUGGGCCUAAAAGCAGCCAUCUAGGAAGAAAGCGUUAAAGCUCAGACAGCCUCCAAACCCUUUAUUUUGUUAAAGAAUCUUACCCCCUGACAACUACUAAGCCAUCCCAUGCCCCCAUGGGAGCGCCUAUGCUAAAAUGAGUAACAAGAGGGAAAACCCUCUCCCAGCACACAUGUAAGUCGGACCGGACCCCACCACCGACAAAUAACGAACCCAAGCCAAGAGGGAACUUCGAGCUUAACCAACAACGAGAAAACUCCGAACAUUUAAUCGUUAACCCCACACAGGUGUGCCCUAAGGAAAGACCUAAAGGAAGAGAAGGAACUCGGCAAACAUGAGCCUCGCCUGUUUACCAAAAACAUCGCCUCUUGACCACCAAAACAUAAGAGGUCCCGCCUGCCCUGUGACUAUGGGUUUAACGGCCGCGGUAUUUUGACCGUGCAAAGGUAGCGCAAUCACUUGUCUUUUAAAUGGAGACCUGUAUGAAUGGCACGACGAGGGCCCAACUGUCUCCUCUCCCCAGUCAGUGAAAUUGAUCUUCCCGUGCAGAAGCGGGAUUACCCCCAUAAGACGAGAAGACCCCAUGGAGCUUUAGACACUAGGCAGCCCACAUUAAACAAACCUGUACAACCAGGGAGAAUUUAGUGGCCCCUCCCCUACUUGUCUUUGGUUGGGGCGACCACGGAGGAAAAAAUAGCCUCCCUGAGGACUGGGGGUACUACCCCUACAGCCAAGAACCACUGUUCUAAGCAACAGAACAUCUGACCACCACGAUCCGGCGCACGCCGAUCAACGGACCGAGUUACCCUGGGGAUAACAGCGCAAUCCUCUCCCAGAGUCCCUAUCGACGAGGGGGUUUACGACCUCGAUGUUGGAUCAGGACAUCCUAAUGGUGCAGCCGCUAUUAAGGGUUCGUUUGUUCAACGAUUAAAGUCCUACGUGAUCUGAGUUCAGACCGGAGUAAUCCAGGUCAGUUUCUAUCUAUGAACUGAUCUUUCCUAGUACGAAAGGACCGGAAAGAAGAGGCCCAUGCCCAAGGCACGCCUCUCCCCCACCUAGUGAAGACAACUAAAGUAGAAAAGGGGCAUACCCAGGCAUGCCUGAAAGAACGGCGU